This 676-nucleotide ribosomal RNA is filed under the name Lentaria surculus. RNAcentral's name for it is "eukaryotic LSU rRNA". The stretch from base 270 to 424 matches the Rfam family "5.8S ribosomal RNA". Lineage: Eukaryota; Fungi; Basidiomycota; Agaricomycetes; Gomphales; Lentariaceae. The record is from RNAcentral.
CUUGGUCAUUUAGAGGAAGUAAAAGUCGUAACAAGGUUUCCGUAGGUGAACCUGCGGAAGGAUCAUUACAGUAUGUUUAGAGGGAGCUGUUGCUGGCUCUAUAAGCAUGUGCACGCUCCCUCGCCUUCAUCCAUUACACACCUGUGCACCUCGAGCGAGUCUCCCAUUAGGAGCCGUCCCACGGGACUGAGGUCUCGCUCGCUUUAUUAUAAUAAUACAGCCUGUCUUUAAUGCAUGUGAAUACGUUCUACGGAACUGAUAUCAAAUACAACUUUCAACAACGGAUCUCUUGGCUUUCGCAUCGAUGAAGAACGCCGCGAAAGUGCGAAACGUAAUGUGAAUUGCAGAAUUCAGUGAAUCAUCGAAUCUUUGAACGCAUCUUGCGCUCCUUGGUAUUCCGAGGAGCAUGCCUGUUUGAGUGUCGUGAAACUCUCUCAAUCUCUCAUUUCUGGUAGAUUGGAUUUGGAUGUUGCCGCGAUGAAUGUCUUUGCGGCUCGUCUUGAAAUGCAUUAGCUGGUCCGCCGCCAUUCGAUUACAACGGUGUGAUAAGAAUUUCUUUUAACGCUGUUUCAAAUCAAAUGGGGGAGGUCUGCUUCCAAUCGUCCUUAAGGGGACUCACUUUCAUGUCAUCUGACCUCAAAUCAGGUAGGACUACCCGCUGAACUUAAGCAUAUCA